This 21-nucleotide non-coding RNA is filed under the name Caenorhabditis elegans. Lineage: Eukaryota; Metazoa; Nematoda; Chromadorea; Rhabditida; Rhabditidae. The record is from RNAcentral.
CAAGACGUUAAGAUUAAAGGU